CACCAGACUCCUACGGGAGGCAGCAGUGGGGAAUAUUGCACAAUGGGGGAAACCCUGAUGCAGCAACGCCGCGUGAGUGAAGAAGUCAUUCGUGAUGUAAAGCUCUAUCAGCAGGGAAGAAAGAAAUGGCGGUACCUGACCAAGAAGCCCCGGCUAACUACGUGCCAGCAGCCGCGGUAAUACGUAGGGGGCAAGCGUUAUCCGGAUUUACUGGGUGUAAAGGGAGCGUAGACGGCGAUACAAGUCUGAAGUGAAAGCCCGGGGCUCAACCCCGGGACUGCUUUGGAAACUGUGUUGCUGGAGUGCUGGAGGGGCAAGCGGAAUUUCUAGUGUAGCGGUGAAAUGCGUAGAUAUUAGGAAGAACACCAGUGGCGAAGGCGGCUUGCUGGACAGUAACUGACGUUGAGGCUCGAAAGCGUGGGGAGCAAACAGGAUUAGAUACCCGAGUA
This 449-nucleotide ribosomal RNA is filed under the name uncultured bacterium. RNAcentral's name for it is "bacterial SSU rRNA". It matches the Rfam family "Bacterial small subunit ribosomal RNA", at positions 329 to 792 of the family's 1533-position model. The record is from RNAcentral.